Molecule: long non-coding RNA, 846 nt
Organism: Myotis daubentonii (Daubenton's bat)
Lineage: Eukaryota; Metazoa; Chordata; Mammalia; Chiroptera; Vespertilionidae
Source: RefSeq, a predicted model, not a curated record
CUUGAUUCUUGCGAUCCUCUGGUCUGCUGUUGGGAGUCUGUAUAAUAUUCUUUAUUUCUGUCAGUGUAUGCUUAAUUUCUAGUUGGUCCUUUAUCACAACAUCGAGGGUCUCACUAGAUUUCUUGAGGAUCUCACUACAUUUAUUGGCGGUUUCUAGAAAAAUCUUGAAAAACCUAAAAAGUGUGGUUUUGAACUCUAUAUCCAGCAGUUUGCUUUCCUCCAUUUCUGUCAUUUGUGUCCUGUUUCUUUGUCUUGGCAUUUUUUAUGCUUUGCUGUGUCGAUAGAGUGGCUUUCUGUGCUAAGUGUCCCAAUUGCCUGAGGUAGACACUCUUGGUGCACACCCUUGUGGGCUUUGUGCACAGUCUUGUUGUAGUUAAGCCUUGAUUGUUGUAGAUAAAACUGGGAGGAUUUGACCUCCAGGACAAUUGGCUGUGAGAAUCAGCUGUAAAGCAAUGCAAGUUGCCCUGGGGCCUUGGGGCAGCUGCAGUUUGUUAAGUUAUUUUCAGAUUACAAAGGGCCGGGCCUUUCAUAUGCAGAAGCCUUGGUGCACGGCUUGGGCGGGGCGGGUCCCAGGGGAUCAACAGGGUGGGCCGAGCGAGCGAGCAGUAUGGCUGCUCUCAGUCCUGCCUUCAGAGAGAAAGCUGCCCUCGAGUUCCGACCGAUGCCAGACAGUCCCAUUUCUCCCGUAUGAGUCUGGGUACCUAGAGACUUGCCCAGAACUGGAGCUCAGAGCCUGAGACUCCCUCCCGGUUGAAAAAGACAAUCAUGUCCUCAGCCACCAGCCCUCUCCGCAUGCACCUCUGCACCUUUAUAUUUACUUCAGCACCGCACCUCCUCUGAGUCUCG